AGUGAACGCUGGCGGUAGGCCUAACACAUGCAAGUCGAACGGCAGCACAGUAAGAGCUUGCUCUUACGGGUGGCGAGUGGCGGACGGGUGAGGAAUACAUCGUAAUCUACUUUUUCGUGGGGGAUAACGUAGGGAAACUUACGCUAAUACCGCAUACGACCUACGGUUGAAAGCAGGGGAUCUUCUGACCUUGCGCGAUUGAAUGAGCCGAUGUCGGAUUAGCUAGUUGGCGGGGUAAAGGCCCACCAAGGCGACGAUCCGUAGCUGGUCUGAGAGGAGGAUCAGCCACACGGGAACUGAGACACGGUCAAGACUCCUAAGGGAGGCAGCAGUGGGGAAUAUUGGACAAUGGGCGCAAGCCUGAUCCAGCCAUACCGCGUGGGUGAAGAAGGCCUUCGGGUUGUAAAGCCCUUUUGUGGGGAAAGAAAAGCAGCAGGUUAAUACCCCGCUGUUCUGACGGUACCCAAAGAAUAAGCACCGGCUAACUUCGUG
Molecule: ribosomal RNA, 492 nt
Filed under: uncultured bacterium
Lineage: Bacteria
Description: partial 16S ribosomal RNA
Rfam family: Bacterial small subunit ribosomal RNA
Source: RNAcentral